This 399-nucleotide ribosomal RNA is filed under the name uncultured bacterium. Its description in RNAcentral is "partial 16S ribosomal RNA". It matches the Rfam family "Bacterial small subunit ribosomal RNA", at positions 360 to 776 of the family's 1533-position model. The record is from RNAcentral.
AAUAUUGGACAAUGGGCGCAAGCCUGAUCCAGCCAUGCCGCGUGAGUGAUGAAGGCCCUAGGGUUGUAAAGCUCUUUCAGUGGGGACGAUAAUGACGGUACCCACAGAAGAAGCCCCGGCUAACUUCGUGCCAGCAGCCGCGGUAAUACGAAGGGGGCUAGCGUUGUUCGGAAUUACUGGGCGUAAAGCGCACGUAGGCGGACAUUUAAGUCAGGGGUGAAAUCCCGGGGCUCAACCCCGGAACUGCCUUUGAUACUGGGUGUCUUGAGUUCGGAAGAGGUGAGUGGAAUUGCGAGUGUAGAGGUGAAAUUCGUAGAUAUUCGCAGGAACACCAGUGGCGAAGGCGGCUCACUGGUCCGAUACUGACGCUGAGGUGCGAAAGCGUGGGGAGCAAACAGG